UACGCAGGGUGCAAGCGUUGUCCGGAAUUAUUGGGCGUAAAGAGCUCGUAGGCGGUUCGUCGCGUCGGCUGUGAAAUCCCGAGGCUCAACCUCGGGUCUGCAGUCGAUACGGGCGGACUGGAGUUCGGCAGGGGAGACUGGAAUUCCUGGUGUAGCGGUGAAAUGCGCAGAUAUCAGGAGGAACACCGGUGGCGAAGGCGGGUCUCUGGGCCGAUACUGACGCUGAGGAGCGAAAGCGUGGGGAGCGAACAGG
This 253-nucleotide ribosomal RNA is filed under the name uncultured bacterium. Its description in RNAcentral is "partial 16S ribosomal RNA". It matches the Rfam family "Bacterial small subunit ribosomal RNA", at positions 524 to 776 of the family's 1533-position model. The record is from RNAcentral.